GCAUAUCAAUAAGCGGAGGAAAAGAAACUAACAAGGAUUCCCUUAGUAACGGCGAGUGAAGAGGGAAGAGCUCAAAUUUUAAAUCUAUCAUGUUUGUACAUGAUCGAAUUGUAAUUUGAAGAAGCGUUUUCUCGUACUUUAUGCAAUCAGUAUAAGUUCUCUUGGAACAGGACAUCAUAGAGGGUGAUAAUCCCGUCUGUUACUGGUUGUGAGGUUCGUUAUGAUACGCUUUCAAAGAGUCGAGUUGUUUGGGAUUGCAGCUCCAAAUGGGUGGUAAACAUCACCUAAGGCUAAAUAUUUGCGAGAGACCGAUAGCGAACAAGUACCGUGAGGGAAAGAUGAAAAGAACUUUGAAAAGAGAGUUAAAAAGUAUGUGAAAUUGUUGAAAGGGAAACGAUUGAAGUCAGUCGUGCAGUCAUCAAUUCAGCGGUUAACAUUUUAUGUUUCCGUGUAAUUUGGUGUCUGUUGGUUAGCAUCAAUUUUGAUUGUUAUAAAAAGGUUAAGGGGAUGUGGCUCCUUCGGGAGUGUUAUAACCCUUAGCGUAAUGUGACGAUUAGGAUUGAGGUUUGCAACGAAUACCUUUUAGGGCAGUUUCACCUGGCCUCUCGUGGAAUUAUAGAUAGUUAAGAGCAUGCUCUUACUGUUUAUGAUUCUACGAAAAGGUUGGAGUGUAAAACUAAUUCGUUAAGGAUGUUGACGUA
This 701-nucleotide ribosomal RNA is filed under the name uncultured Glomerales. RNAcentral describes it as "LSU rRNA". It matches the Rfam family "Eukaryotic large subunit ribosomal RNA", at positions 38 to 633 of the family's 3401-position model. Lineage: Eukaryota; Fungi; Glomeromycota; Glomeromycetes; Glomerales; Glomeraceae. The record is from RNAcentral.